RNAcentral lists this ribosomal RNA (253 nucleotides) under uncultured bacterium. Its description in RNAcentral is "partial 16S ribosomal RNA". It matches the Rfam family "Bacterial small subunit ribosomal RNA", at positions 524 to 776 of the family's 1533-position model. The record is from RNAcentral.
UACGUAGGGUGCAAGCGUUGUCCGGAAUUAUUGGGCGUAAAGAGCUCGUAGGCGGUUUGUCGCGUCUGCUGUGAAAACUCGGGGCUUAACUCCGGGCCUGCAGUGGGUACGGUCAGACUAGAGUGCGGUAGGGGAGACUGGAAUUCCUGGUGGAGCGGUGAAAUGCGCAGAGAUCAGGAGGAACACCCGUAGCGAAGGCGGCACUCUGGGCCGAUACUGACACUGAGGAGCGAAAGCAUGGGGAGCGAACAGG